GACAGUGGACACUUUGAUGUCUUGCAGAACCAAAAUAAAAUUCAGAUAUCAAAAGGACAGCCAGGAUUUACGUUGGCAAUGGAGAAAGGCGGAGUUUCAAUCUGCAAACAAGGCGAUGAAGACGGUGGAUGGUCGGACGUAUCACAAAAGAAAAAGGAAAAUAAAAUUGCAAGAGGACGACCAGGAUCUAUGUUGACCACAAG
This is a long non-coding RNA of Neodiprion virginianus, 203 nucleotides long. RefSeq lists it as uncharacterized. The transcript has 3 exons. NCBI's taxonomy places the organism in Eukaryota, Metazoa, Arthropoda, Insecta, Hymenoptera, Diprionidae. The record is from RefSeq and is a predicted model, not a curated record.